RNAcentral lists this ribosomal RNA (235 nucleotides) under uncultured bacterium. Its description in RNAcentral is "partial 16S ribosomal RNA". It matches the Rfam family "Bacterial small subunit ribosomal RNA", at positions 96 to 334 of the family's 1533-position model. The record is from RNAcentral.
UGGCGAACGGGUGAGUAAUGUAUCGGAACGUAUCCAAUAAUGGGGGAUAACGAGUCGAAAGAUUCGCUAAUACCGCAUACGCCCUACGGGGGAAAGCAGGGGAUCUUCGGACCUUGCGUUAAUGGAGCGGCCGAUAUCUGAUUAGCUAGUUGGUGAGGUAAAGGCUCACCAAGGCGACGAUCAGUAGCUGGUCUGAGAGGACGACCAGCCACACUGGAACUGAGACACGGUCCGG